This 460-nucleotide ribosomal RNA is filed under the name uncultured bacterium. Its description in RNAcentral is "partial 16S ribosomal RNA". It matches the Rfam family "Bacterial small subunit ribosomal RNA", at positions 338 to 795 of the family's 1533-position model. The record is from RNAcentral.
CCUACGGGUGGCAGCAGUGAGGAAUAUUGGUCAAUGGACGAGAGUCUGAACCAGCCAAGUAGCGUGAAGGAUGACUGCCCUAUGGGUUGUAAACUUCUUUUAUAAAGGAAUAAAACGAGGCACGUGUGCCUUUUUGUAUGUACUUUAUGAAUAAGCAUCGGCUAACUCCGUGCCAGCAGCCGCGGUAAUACGGAGGAUGCGAGCGUUAUCCGGAUUUAUUGGGUUUAAAGGGAGCGUAGAUGGGUUGUUAAGUCAGUUGUGAAAGUUUGCGGCUCAACCGUAAAAUUGCAAUUGAUACUGGCAGUCUUGAGUACAGUUGAGGUAGGCGGAAUUCGUGGUGUAGCGGUGAAAUGCUUAGAUAUCACGAAGAACUCCGAUUGCGAAGGCAGCUUACUAAGCUGCCACUGACAUUGAUGCUCGAAAGUGUGGGUAUCAAACAGGAUUAGAUACCCGAGUAGUC